This 593-nucleotide small RNA is filed under the name Pan troglodytes (chimpanzee). Its description in RNAcentral is "processed transcript". Lineage: Eukaryota; Metazoa; Chordata; Mammalia; Primates; Hominidae. The record is from RNAcentral.
CGAACUGUUGGACAGCGUCUGGAGUUUUGCACAAAAGAGAAUUGAAUUGUAGAUCAGCUGGGAAGUUACUGUGGUAGUCCUGGUGCCCUGCGGCCUCCAGCGACUGGAACCCUGUGGGAGCACAUAGCUGGCAUUUUUUGCUAGAGAUUAGGAAGUCUUUUGCUUCCUCUGUGAAAAGGCUUGAAUUCAAUGGACUGUGUGGACUUCAACUAACCAACUAAAGAACUGUUCCCCAGAGCAUUGUUCCUGAGAAGGAAAAGAGUCCAAACACCCACCCACACCUGCUUUGUGCCAAGAAUCCACAGUUGGAUUGCAAGGACAGUGCGUUCAAGACCCAGCUGUUGAGAGUAGAAAAGCAGAAGAAAGGACCCGAGGUCAGCAAGUGCCCUCCCUACAAUGGGGCAGGUCUGCCAGGGAGAAUCGGCUACAGCAGCUGAAAAACCAAAACUUCAUCUACUUACUGAAAGUGAGCACACAGCUUACUAUCUCUUUAAAGUGGCAACAGAGUGGAUCUGAGAUGGGUUGCUUCAUGCGAAGGUGGUGAGGUGUACACUUUAUGAAUCAGCUUGGGAGAAAAGCACAGAAACUCUCGA